AGUCGAUGAUGACAAUCACAAAGGCUUGUUUCUCUAAACAUUCGCAGUGGCCGCCUAAGAGCUUUCGCCUUCGCCAGGCUUGAGAGCUUAUGCUGUUAUUAUCCUUCCUUGGAUGUCUGAGAUU
This is a non-coding RNA of Glycine max (soybean), 124 nucleotides long. The record is from Rfam. NCBI's taxonomy places the organism in Eukaryota, Viridiplantae, Streptophyta, Magnoliopsida, Fabales, Fabaceae.